This 465-nucleotide ribosomal RNA is filed under the name Vreelandella stevensii. RNAcentral's name for it is "partial 16S ribosomal RNA". It matches the Rfam family "Bacterial small subunit ribosomal RNA", at positions 338 to 795 of the family's 1533-position model. Lineage: Bacteria; Pseudomonadati; Pseudomonadota; Gammaproteobacteria; Oceanospirillales; Halomonadaceae. The record is from RNAcentral.
CCUACGGGAGGCUGCAGUGGGGAAUAUUGGACAAUGGGCGAAAGCCUGAUCCAGCCAUGCCGCGUGUGUGAAGAAGGCCUUCGGGUUGUAAAGCACUUUCAGUGGGGAAGAAAGCCUCUGGGCUAAUACCCUCGAGGAAGGACAUCGCCCACAGAAGAAGCACCGGCUAACUCCGUGCCAGCAGCCGCGGUAAUACGGAGGGUGCGAGCGUUAAUCGGAAUUACUGGGCGUAAAGCGCGCGUAGGCGGUCUGAUAAGCCGGUUGUGAAAGCCCCGGGCUCAACCUGGGAACGGCAUCCGGAACUGUCAGGCUAGAGUGCAGGAGAGGAAGGUAGAAUUCCCGGUGUAGCGGUGAAAUGCGUAGAGAUCGGGAGGAAUACCAGUGGCGAAGGCGGCCUUCUGGACUGACACUGACGCUGAGGUGCGAAAGCGUGGGUAGCAAACAGGAUUAGAUACCCCAGUAGUC